ACGCGAGGACGACCUCGCGGCUCGAUCGAGUCAUUAACCUGGGGACGACCCCG
Molecule: non-coding RNA, 53 nt
Filed under: Pseudomonas sp.
Lineage: Bacteria; Pseudomonadati; Pseudomonadota; Gammaproteobacteria; Pseudomonadales; Pseudomonadaceae
Also listed under: 2 other names
Description: Guanidine-II sequence
Rfam family: Guanidine-II riboswitch aptamer (mini-ykkC)
About the family: Simpler in structure and has fewer highly conserved nucleotide positions than the ykkC-yxkD leader. Despite this each of its two stem-loop structures directly bind free guanidine. Therefore, mini-ykkC RNA motif represents a distinct class of guanidine-sensing RNAs.
Source: RNAcentral